Molecule: ribosomal RNA, 497 nt
Filed under: uncultured bacterium
Lineage: Bacteria
Description: partial 16S ribosomal RNA
Rfam family: Bacterial small subunit ribosomal RNA
Source: RNAcentral
GAUGAACGCUGGCGGCGUGCCUAAUACAUGCAAGUCGAGCGAACGGACGAGAAGCUUGCUUCUCUGAUGUUAGCGGCGGACGGGUGAGUAACACGUGGAUAACCUACCUAUAAGACUGGGAUAACUUCGGGAAACCGGAGCUAAUACCGGAUAAUAUUAUGAACCGCAUGGUUCAAAAGUGAAAGACGGUCUUGCUGUCACUUAUAGAUGGAUCCGCGCUGCAUUAGCUAGUUGGUAAGGUAACGGCUUACCAAGGCAACGAUGCAUAGCCGACCUGAGAGGGUGAUCGGCCACACUGGAACUGAGACACGGUCCAGACUCCUACGGGAGGCAGCAGUAGGGAAUCUUCCGCAAUGGGCGAAAGCCUGACGGAGCAACGCCGCGUGAGUGAUGAAGGUCUUCGGAUAGUAAAACUCUGUUAUUAGGGAAGAACAUAUGUGUAAGUAACUGUGCACAUCUUGACGGUACCUAAUCAGAAAGCCACGGCUAACUACGUG